Molecule: transfer RNA, 19 nt
Filed under: Colostethus sp. QCAZ16495
Lineage: Eukaryota; Metazoa; Chordata; Amphibia; Anura; Dendrobatidae
Description: partial tRNA-Phe
Source: RNAcentral
CCUAAAGUCCUCUAACACA